This 411-nucleotide ribosomal RNA is filed under the name uncultured microorganism. Its description in RNAcentral is "bacterial SSU rRNA". It matches the Rfam family "Bacterial small subunit ribosomal RNA", at positions 9 to 417 of the family's 1533-position model. The record is from RNAcentral.
GAGUUUGAUCUUGGCUCAGAUUGAACGCUGGCGGCAUGCCUUACACAUGCAAGUCGAACGGCAGCAUGAUCUAGCUUGCUAGAUUGAUGGCGAGUGGCGAACGGGUGAGUAAUACAUCGGAACGUGCCCUGUAGUGGGGAUAACUAGUCGAAAGAUUAGCUAAUACCGCAUACGACCUGAGGGUGAAAGUGGGGGACCGCAAGGCCUCAUGCUAUAGGAGCGGCCGAUGUCUGAUUAGCUAGUUGGUGGGGUAAAGGCCCACCAAGGCGACGAUCAGUAGCUGGUCUGAGAGGACGAUCAGCCACACUGGGACUGAGACACGGCCCAGACUCCUACGGGAGGCAGCAGUGGGGAAUUUUGGACAAUGGGCGAAAGCCUGAUCCAGCAAUGCCGCGUGUGUGAAGAAGGCCU